Molecule: ribosomal RNA, 508 nt
Filed under: Hesperocorixa moesta
Lineage: Eukaryota; Metazoa; Arthropoda; Insecta; Hemiptera; Corixidae
Description: partial large subunit ribosomal RNA
Rfam family: Eukaryotic large subunit ribosomal RNA
Source: RNAcentral
GGAGUCUAACAUGUGCGCGAGUCAUUGGGUUGCAAACCUAAAGGCGGAAUGAAAGUGAAGAGAGCUUUGCUUUUCUGAGGGAGGAUGGCCGCGCUGCUCUUGAGGCGGCGGCCCGCACUCCCGGGGCGUCUAUCGCUCACAGCGAGCGGAGGCGCACCAAGAGCGUACACGUUAGGACCCGAAAGAUGGUGAACUAUGCCUGGUCAGGACGAAGCCAGGGGAAACCCUGGUGGAGGUCCGUAGCGAUUCUGACGUGCAAAUCGAUCGUCGGAGCUGGGUAUAGGGGCGAAAGACUAAUCGAACCAUCUAGUAGCUGGUUCCCUCCGAAGUUUCCCUCAGGAUAGCUGGUGCCCGCGUGAAACGAGUCUCAUCCGGUAAAGCGAAUGAUUAGAGGCCUUGGGGCCGAAACGACCUCAACCUAUUCUCAAACUUUAAAUAGAUGAGAACUCCGGCUUGCUUAACGGUGAAGCCGGAGAUUCGGAUCAGGGUGCCCAGUGGGCCAAUUUUG